Molecule: ribosomal RNA, 411 nt
Filed under: uncultured bacterium
Lineage: Bacteria
Description: bacterial SSU rRNA
Rfam family: Bacterial small subunit ribosomal RNA
Source: RNAcentral
AAUGGGCGAAAGCCUGACGCAGCGACGCCGCGUGGGUGACGAAGGCCUUCGGGUUGUAAAGCCCUGUGGGGAGGAACGAACCGUCCGGGGGCCAAUACCCUCCGGGCCUGACGGUACCUCUUUAGCAAGCAUCGGCUAACUCUGUGCCAGCAGCCGCGGUAAGACAGAGGAUGCGAACGUUGCUCGGAAUUACUGGGCGUAAAGCGCGCGUAGGUGGCCUUGUAAGUCUCGUGUGAAAGCCCUCUGCUCAACGGAGGAAGUGCACGGGAUACUGCGAGGCUGGAGUACAGAAGAGGACAGCGGAAUUCCCGGUGUAGAGGUGAAAUUCGUAGAUAUCGGGAGGAACACCAGUGGCGAAGGCGGCUGUCUGGGCUGAUACUGACACUGAGGCGCGAAAGCGUGGGAAGCAAA